UUAGCUAUAAUAAACCAACCAGACAAUUGUUCUUGAUUAAAAUUUAUUCAUUAUGCAUCUAUAUCUAUAUAUCUAUAUAGAUAACUCAUAACUGUGAUUUUUAGGCUACGUCGUAAUCUAAACCAUCAUCUCGCGUGUCAUAUUUUUUUCCAUUUCCAUCUAUAUCUAUAUAUGUACAUAUCAUACAUCAUAAUACACCGGUUUUAUAGAUAUAUUUUUAUACCCGUGAGACAUAUAAUAUAAAAUGAUAGUUGAUACUAUUACUCCCAAGGGAUCUUUUUACCUCUCAAUGCUCUAUAUAAUACUCUAUACUCGUAUUCUCGCGAAUUGUAAUAACAACUUUUAUUCUUCAGGCCAUAUAAAUGCUAUUUAACACUAUAUAUAUAUAUAGUUUAAAGAAGAACCACAAGUCAAACAGCAGGCAGAGUUGUUAUUACCAUGAACGGAAGAGAAAACCCGAAAGACCCGAAAGUUAUACAGCCAAACUACUGAUGAUGAAGGAAAAUGAAGGAGGGCAGUGCUAAGGGGAAGGAAAAAGAGGAGAGGGUGGAGAAAGCAGCAACAGCAGCAACAGCAACAGCAGCCCGCCAGGACGUAGACGUCGACGUCAACGUCGGGAAAAGAGAGGUGAACCAGGCGUUUGGGUGUGCGCGACCCGCCGAUGCGGUGGCAUCGAUCCAUACCGGGUAGAGUCUCCCACACUCCCUAUCGUUGCUUUGCACGUCGUACUACCCGUCCCACAAUCCCGCUUUUCCCUACUAUAUUUCUAUCUACAGAUAUAUAUAUUUCUUGCUUUAUUAUAACAUCUAGUGUCUUUCUUUCUCCGGUGAAUCUAGUCCCCUCGAGUGCCCUCAAACUCACCAAUCUUAAGAUGAUUUUUUUCUCUAACAUACAAACGAUUAUUUUAUAUAUAUAUAUAUUUUUUUUUUCUUUACCUGCUACAUGUGGAUAAAUAUAUAUGAGGUGCUCUUGAAAAAAGUUUUUAGAUUCUUUUUAGUUAACGGAAUAAAUUUUGUUAGGCUCAUUUCAUUUUUUCGCUUUUAUAAGAACAAUAAAAAAUAAUAGAAAAAAAUUAUUGUCAGCUCAAGUUUAAUGCUAAAAUACAUGUACUGGGGCCAUUAUCUCAAUCGAAUGUAGAUGCGAUAACGAAUUCACAUCAGCUGCCAAAAACGAUUUAUAGAUGUACGUUUUGGCAUUAAGCCAUAUUCCGCAUUGACCGGAAACCACUGAGUGCGCUUGGCAAUUACGUGACAAUUAACAAGAUCGAUUGUCUCUUUGAGGCUGUAAUAUUAAGUGACACCCGCGGUCGGUGAGAGUAAAGAGAGAUAUCGAAAUAUCGAAUUAUAUUAGAUAAAAAAUUUUUUAAAUUUUAUAUAAAUAAACUUACAAGUGGCGGAAAUAAGCUGUGGU
Molecule: long non-coding RNA, 1410 nt
Organism: Microplitis mediator
Lineage: Eukaryota; Metazoa; Arthropoda; Insecta; Hymenoptera; Braconidae
Exons: 3
Source: RefSeq, a predicted model, not a curated record